RNAcentral lists this ribosomal RNA (465 nucleotides) under Vreelandella stevensii. RNAcentral describes it as "partial 16S ribosomal RNA". It matches the Rfam family "Bacterial small subunit ribosomal RNA", at positions 338 to 795 of the family's 1533-position model. Lineage: Bacteria; Pseudomonadati; Pseudomonadota; Gammaproteobacteria; Oceanospirillales; Halomonadaceae. The record is from RNAcentral.
CCUACGGGAGGCAGCAGUGGGGAAUAUUGGACAAUGGGGGGAACCCUGAUCCAGCCAUGCCGCGUGUAUGAAGAAGGCCCUCGGGUUGUAAAGCACUUUCAGUGAGGAAGAACGCCUGGUGGUUAAUACCCAUCAGGAAAGACAUCACUCACAGAAGAAGCACCGGCUAACUCCGUGCCAGCAGCCGCGGUAAUACGGAGGGUGCGAGCGUUAAUCGGAAUUACUGGGCGUAAAGCGCGCGUAGGUGGCUUGAUAAGCCGGUUGUGAAAGCCCCGGGCUCAACCUGGGAACGGCAUCCGGAACUGUCAAGCUAGAGUGCAGGAGAGGAAGGUAGAAUUCCCGGUGUAGCGGUGAAAUGCGUAGAGAUCGGGAGGAAUACCAGUGGCGAAGGCGGCCUUCUGGACUGACACUGACACUGAGGUGCGAAAGCGUGGGUAGCAAACAGGAUUAGAUACCCUAGUAGUC